RNAcentral lists this ribosomal RNA (799 nucleotides) under uncultured bacterium. Its description in RNAcentral is "bacterial SSU rRNA". It matches the Rfam family "Bacterial small subunit ribosomal RNA", at positions 8 to 796 of the family's 1533-position model. The record is from RNAcentral.
AGAGUUUGAUCAUGGCUCAGGAUGAACGCUAGCGGCAGGCUUAAUACAUGCAAGUCGAGGGGCAGCAGGCUCCGCAGCAAUGCGGAGUGCUGGCGACCGGCAAACGGGUGCGGAACACGUACACAACCUUCCUUUAAGUGGGGAAUAGCCCAGAGAAAUUUGGAUUAAUACCCCGUAAUAUUAUGAUGUGGCAUCACAUUAUAAUUAUAGCUCCGGCGCUUAAUGAUGGGUGUGCGGCUGAUUAGAUAGUUGGCGGGGUAACGGCCCACCAAGUCUGCGAUCAGUAACUGGUGUGAGAGCACGACCAGUCACACGGGCACUGAGACACGGGCCCGACUCCUACGGGAGGCAGCAGUAAGGAAUAUUGGUCAAUGGACGCAAGUCUGAACCAGCCAUGCCGCGUGGAGGAUGAAGGUCCUCUGGAUUGUAAACUUCUUUUAUAUGGGACGAAAAAGGGCCUUUCCAGGUCAACUGACGGUACCAUAUGAAUAAGCACCGGCUAACUCCGUGCCAGCAGCCGCGGUAAUACGGAGGGUGCAAGCGUUAUCCGGAUUCACUGGGUUUAAAGGGUGCGUAGGUGGGUUGGUAAGUCAGUGGUGAAAUCUCCGAGCUUAACUUGGAAACUGCCAUUGAUACUAUCAGUCUUGAAUAUUGUGGAGGUUAGCGGAAUAUGUCAUGUAGCGGUGAAAUGCUUAGAUAUGACAUAGAACACCAAUUGCGAAGGCAGCUGGCUACGCAUAUAUUGACACUGAGGCACGAAAGCGUGGGGAUCAAACAGGAUUAGAUACCCUAGUAGUCC